AUUGAACGCUGGCGGCAUGCCUUACACAUGCAAGUCGAACGGUAACGCGGGGCAACCUGGCGACGAGUGGCGAACGGGUGAGUAAUGCAUCGGAACGUGCCCAGUAGUGGGGGAUAGCCCGGCGAAAGCCGGAUUAAUACCGCAUACGACCUACGGGUGAAAGCGGGGGACCGGUAAGGCCUCGCGCUAUUGGAGCGGCCGAUGUCAGAUUAGGUAGUUGGUGGGGUAAAGGCCUACCAAGCCUUCGAUCUGUAGCUGGUCUGAGAGGACGACCAGCCACACUGGGACUGAGACACGGCCCAGACUCCUACGGGAGGCAGCAGUGGGGAAUUUUGGACAAUGGGCGCAAGCCUGAUCCAGCCAUGCCGCGUGCGGGAAGAAGGCCUUCGGUUGUAAACUGCUUUGUCAGGGAAGAAAUAGUUCCGGGUUAAGUAACCUGGGAAGAUGACGGUACCUGAAGAAUAAGCACCGGCUAACUACGUGCAGCAGCCGCGGUAAAGUAGACGUGU
Molecule: ribosomal RNA, 509 nt
Filed under: uncultured bacterium
Lineage: Bacteria
Description: bacterial SSU rRNA
Rfam family: Bacterial small subunit ribosomal RNA
Source: RNAcentral